CGCCCUUCCUACGGGAGGCAGCAGUGAGGAAUAUUGCUCAAUGGACGCAAGUCUGAACCAGCCAUGCCGCGUGCAGGAAGACGGUCCUAUGGAUUGUAAACUGCUUUUAUUCGAGAAUAAACCCCCUGUCGUGCAUAGGGGCGAAGUCCAANA
RNAcentral lists this ribosomal RNA (153 nucleotides) under uncultured bacterium. RNAcentral describes it as "partial 16S ribosomal RNA". It matches the Rfam family "Bacterial small subunit ribosomal RNA", at positions 331 to 484 of the family's 1533-position model. The record is from RNAcentral.